Cygnus olor (mute swan) is the source of this 1686-nucleotide long non-coding RNA. RefSeq lists it as uncharacterized. NCBI's taxonomy places the organism in Eukaryota, Metazoa, Chordata, Aves, Anseriformes, Anatidae. The record is from RefSeq and is a predicted model, not a curated record. The transcript has 3 exons.
CCUGGUGCUGCUGAGCUGUGGCUAAGGGCUCCAGUACAGCACAUGCUGCUGCUGCCGCCUUCCCUAGCUCUGCUGGAAGCCAUCUUGCUGGCCUGUCAGGCCAGAUGUUUAGCAACCAGAUUUUCCAGGGUCAAGAAGCGUGGGGGAAGAGACAAGUGCUCUGCUGCCUGGCUGAGGUCACCUUUGCAGCCAUUUCCAUGGGCUCCUACCAGUCCAUUGAAGGCAAAGCAUUCCUUUACCCUGUCCUGAGCACACAUUGGACCCUGGCCCUAUAACCACAUUUUGGAGCAGGUCCAGAUUAGUUGUGUUCCUCAUCCGCACUGCAAGAGAGAGGUUUGGGAGCAGCUUUCUUUGGCACCAGGUGGAAACCGACCUGAUUUUCAGCACUGCCAUCAACUGCUAAGACCUUGCAUGAAGCUGAGCCCAGCUGGAAGUGGAGAUGAGGCCCAGAUGACGGAGCUGCAACUGUGUGUACCUGCGUGCCCCAGGCCUGAUGCUGUAGGAUGGAGGAGAAGGCAGGCCCGCUCUCCAUACAAUGGUAGACACAAAGCCAUCGCCUCUCGGUUUCGGUGGGCCAACUGGAUCAGUUGAAAGGCUGCCCUGAUUUGGUACUCGCAGAGGCAGGACCACACCGGCGGCCCAUUGUGUACGGCCCUGAUUCCCCGGCAGAUCUUCGUCACUGAAGUCAAGGACAUAAUGAGGGAUUUCAGUCCCAAGCAGAGACUAUCCAAGCAGGUGGGAAAGUGACGGGCCAGCGUCCAGCCUUCAGAGCACAGACCAAAGGGAAGCUGUUCUAAAUAGCAACAAUGGCCUUAAUCCCCCGGCAGGAUGGAGAGAUGCAGACUGGUAAAGGGAAGAAAAGGCAGAAAAUAGCAAGCACAGAAAGUGUGUAUAUGUGAGAAUCCCUUUCAGGAUGCAUUAAUGGGAUGCAGUGAAUAGGAAGAAGAGACCCCAGAGUGUGUUUUAAACAGAUUCCUGGUAUAAUAUGAACCACUGUAAAUGAAGUGCUGCACAAAAGAAGUAAUAAAAAUAUAUCACUGUAGUCAGUCUCGCUGGCCGUGUCAGUGUUUAACCACAUCAGAGCUCAUCGUUAACUAAGAGGCAGAAUAAGACGAGCAAACAAGAGGGCAGCUGGGAGGAAGAACAUAAGGACCACAUUGGGGCCGAGCGAGGUUCCUCCCAUGGCAGCCCCAAGAAAUAAGGGUCCAGGCAGGAGGGAAAGCCCACCUGCCGGGCAUGGCUUGGCAGAGACACCUCCGGAGAUGGUGUGAGGAUGUGCUCACCUCCUCUGUUGCCAGCUCUCCUGCAACAAUUCGUCUGCAGCAGCCGCCUGCCUCCGAGUGAGGAGUUUUAAUAAACGAUCGUCAUGUGCAAGCCAUGCAUGUAUGUGAGAGAGGAUGGGGACGUGUAUUUUUAAACGCAAAAACUCCCACCAGCCGCAGGCUGAACACAGGCUGCAUGAUCUUCAAGGGAAGGAGGAAAAAAGCGUGCUGGUUUUCUCUAGAAUUGGAUCAUUUGCUGCAAAUUGGGUGGUUGAUCCAAUAAGAGUUACGGAAAAUGUGGUCCGCAGUGGGGAGUAAGUUCAGGGUGGUAUGAAUUUUAGGAUGGGCUGUUAGAGGUCCCAUCCCAGGAGAGGUGCUUGGUGCUUUCUGGAGGUCAAGCCAGUGUCUCAGCAUCAAUAACCAG